GUCGCGUGCCGGGCGACCGCUCCGCUAUCUGGCGGGGAGGAAAGUCCGAGCACCGCAGGGCACGGUGGUGGGUAACGCCCACCCCCCGGCCGAGAGCCGGGGCGGGAAAGUGCCACAGAAAACACACCGCCUAAGCCGCCCGCAAGGACGGCCGGCAAGGGUGAAAAGGUGCGGUAAGAGCGCACCGGGCCGACGGCGACGCCGGCCGCAUGGCAAACCCCACCGGGUGCAAGGCCAAAUAGGAGGCCAGGGGCUGCCCGCCCCGCAUCUGUUCAGGAGCCUCGGGUAGGCCGCUGGAGCCGGCUGGCAACAGCCGGCCAAGAUAAAUGGUCGCCGCCCGAAAGGGACACAGAACUCGGCUUACAGGCACGCGACAACG
RNAcentral lists this RNase P RNA (379 nucleotides) under Bryobacteraceae bacterium. RNAcentral's name for it is "RNase P RNA component class A". It matches the Rfam family "Bacterial RNase P class A". Rfam says of the family: Ribonuclease P (RNase P) is a ubiquitous endoribonuclease, found in archaea, bacteria and eukarya as well as chloroplasts and mitochondria. Its best characterised activity is the generation of mature 5'-ends of tRNAs by cleaving the 5'-leader elements of precursor-tRNAs. The record is from RNAcentral. Lineage: Bacteria; Pseudomonadati; Acidobacteriota; Terriglobia; Bryobacterales; Bryobacteraceae.